ACGGAAGGCAGCAGUGGGGCAUAUUGCACAAUGGGGGAAACCCUGAUGCAGCGACGCCGCGUGAACGAUGAAGUAUUUCGGUAUGUAAAGUUCUAUCAGCAGGGAAGAUAAUGACGGUACCUGACUAAGAAGCACCGGCUAAAUACGUGCCAGCAGCCGCGGUAAUACGUAUGGUGCAAGCGUUAUCCGGAUUUACUGGGUGUAAAGGGUGCGUAGGUGGCAUGGCAAGUCUGAAGUGAAAUGCGGGGGCUCAACCCCUGAACUGCUUUGGAAACUGUCAAGCUAGAGUGCAGGAGAGGAAAGCGGAAUUCCUAGUGUAGCGGUGAAAUGCGUAGAUAUUAGGAGGAACACCAGUGGCGAAGGCGGCUUACUGGACGGUAACUGACGUUGAGGCUCGAAAGCGUGGGGAGCAAACAGGAUUAGAUACCCUGGUA
RNAcentral lists this ribosomal RNA (434 nucleotides) under uncultured Lachnospiraceae bacterium. RNAcentral describes it as "partial 16S ribosomal RNA". It matches the Rfam family "Bacterial small subunit ribosomal RNA", at positions 341 to 792 of the family's 1533-position model. Lineage: Bacteria; Bacillati; Bacillota; Clostridia; Lachnospirales; Lachnospiraceae. The record is from RNAcentral.